Molecule: unclassified non-coding RNA, 230 nt
Filed under: rhizosphere metagenome
Description: partial ribosomal RNA internal transcribed spacer region
Source: RNAcentral
GUAGGUGAACCUGCGGAAGGAUCAUUACCGAGUCAGGGUCUUCUAGGCCCGAAACUCCAACCCUAUGUCUAUUUACCAUGUUGCUUUGGCGGGCCCGUUUUACGACCGCCGGCGGAUUUUAACCGCUGGCCCGCGCCUGCCAGUAGCCCAAUCAAACCCUGUUUUAACUGUGAUGUCUAAAUAAAAUGAUAAAUCAUUAAAAACUUUCAACAACGGAUCUCUUGGUUCUG